This 234-nucleotide unclassified non-coding RNA is filed under the name uncultured fungus. RNAcentral describes it as "sequence contains ITS1". Lineage: Eukaryota; Fungi. The record is from RNAcentral.
UUUCAUUGCUUGUUUAUCUGACGACACAAAUUCAGAGUAUGAGAACUCCGGCGAGUUCGCGCCGGCAGAAUUGAUCUUCCGCCAACGGCUGUUUCCAACGUCUCGCCGAAGCAACGUCGGAUGGUCAAGGGUGGGAGUUCCUGAAGCAGGAAGACUCGGUAAUGAUCCUUCCGCAGGUUCACUGUGAAUGUUAGCUGGAUUUCAUAAUCAGACGAAAAACAUACCCUACGGAAA